GACGAACGCUGGCGGCGUGCUUAACACAUGCAAGUCGAACGGACCGAGUUGAUAGCUUGCUAUUGAUGAGGUUAGUGGCAAACGGGUGAGUAACGCGUGAGAAACCUGCCUUUCAGUGGGGGACAACAGUUGGAACGACUGCUAAUACCGCAUAACACUUUAGUACCGCAUGGUACAGAAGUCAAAGCUUAAUGUGCUGAGAGAUGGUCUCGCGUCUGAUUAGCUAGAUGGCGGGGUAACGGCCCACCAUGGCGACGAUCAGUAGCCGGUCUGAGAGGAUGAACGGCCACAUUGGGACUAAGAUACGGCCCAGACUCCUACGGGAGGCAGCAGUGGGGGAAUAAUUGGGCAAUGGGGGAAACCCUGACCCAGCAACGCCGCGUGAAGGAAGAAGGCC
This 397-nucleotide ribosomal RNA is filed under the name uncultured bacterium. RNAcentral describes it as "bacterial SSU rRNA". It matches the Rfam family "Bacterial small subunit ribosomal RNA", at positions 28 to 416 of the family's 1533-position model. The record is from RNAcentral.